This 1671-nucleotide long non-coding RNA is filed under the name Brachypodium distachyon (stiff brome). RNAcentral describes it as "long non-coding RNA (BDIS_LNC004925)". The record is from RNAcentral. Lineage: Eukaryota; Viridiplantae; Streptophyta; Magnoliopsida; Poales; Poaceae.
GCCUCUCUCCCUCUGCGCCGGAGCCGCCUCCCCAUCGGCCGCGUCGCCCGCCUGCCCGCGAGCUCCGCGCGCGCGCCUCCCCCUUUCCUCCUGCUCCACCCUCCACCGCGCAGCCCGCGCUCCACCACGAGCCGCCUCCACCUCGCCGGCUGCGUCCGGCCCGCGCGCAAAUCCCCGUCGCCGCGCCUCCCCUUCGCUGCGCCUCUCCACCUCGCCACGCCCGCCUGCCUCUGCUCCUCCGUCCACCCUGCCCAGCACGCCGACGUGCCUCUAGCACAUCGCCCGCAGGCCUAGCAAGCCCAUCUCCAAGCCCAAAUCCAGCAGGCCCGUGGCCUUCUUCUUUUUCUUUCUUUUCUGUUUUUUCUAAAAAUGUUUCGCUUAUGCGUGGGCCCUGUUCGUCAGCCGCCUGCUGCUUGCUGCUAUUGCCACUGGUGCUUGCUGUUUUGCUACUGUGCUGCUGCUCCGUGUGUGCCGUGUCGCUGCCCAAGUCCGUGUGAGCGCGUAAAGACCGAAGAACCUCGGAGUCGGAGCCUGGAACGACUACGACCACGACGAUUGAACGACUACUUCGCCGCGACGACUACAUCACCUACGUGAACAGCUACUUCGCCUACGACGACUACGUGUACGACUACCUCGACUACGUCCACUACUUCCUCUACGUCGUGAUGCCACACGUGUCCAAGGUAUAACGAGCGACUGUCCCGUGAACCGACCGUCCCGUGGCGUAGACUCGUAGGUUGCGAUCGAUGAUAUGCAUGUGUUGUAUGCCGUGUAUGUACCGAUAGUAUCGAUAGUUGCAGGUACCUCGUUGCCUUUGGCAUGUGCAGCCCCGACCUAGUCGGAUCCUUGUGUUGUUCUUGUUUUAAAGCAUGCAUCGCACCUAUCCAUGUAAUUGUCAUGCAUCCUAAUACAACUAUAACAUUGUUGUGUGUAUUUGAUCCAUUAAACUCUAUUCCUUGCAUAUGGAGUUGUAUAGAUGCUAUGUGUAGAGUAUUCAGACUCCAUUUAACUUGGUAAUCAUAUAUCAGAUUUACGUUCGGAUUCCUUAAUAUGACAUGCAUCAUCCCCAUGUCACGCAUCAUUCUUUGAUUGCGCAUAUCAAUUAACUUUUGUAUCUUGUAUGCUUAUACUUUUCUUUUAUGUGGUGGAUUUGCUUCUUCCUCGCUAGUCUUCGAUUCCUACGACGACGACUACACUUGUGUUCUUCUUUCAGGAUUCGUGCUCAAUUCUGGGCAAUUGAGUACUCCAGGCAAGCAGCCCUUCCUUGACCAUGUCGAUUAUACUUAUUGCUUCUCCCUCAGUCUUGCAUUAAGUUACGAUCUCAGUCUUGUCACGAUGCCUCUAGGUUGCAUAGCUUAUUAGUCAGCUCUACUUAUUGCCCUAUGUCUUGUUACUUGUCCUAUUACCAUGUCACAUGUUUGUUGUUGCCCUACAUCUUGUUCAUUAGAUGUCAUGCUUAGUGGCGAGUCUAGUGUCCUUAUAUCUGGGGUUCCACAAUUGCUACAUCCACAUGCUACUUUAUGUUUUAAAUUGCAAUUAUUAAACUGUGAUAUGAUAUUAAAUUGUAACAAGGCAACGAUGGGAGGACGUGCUCUAACGCAUUGGUGUUUUGUUCCAUUGGCGCCGACCUAAGGACUGAGUUCUCGUUUUCGCCGAUCCAAAAAACUU